CCCUCCGCGCUCUGGAGGCUUUGUGUUGCUUUCGCUGAAGCCUGGAGAGCGAGAGGGGUUAGUGCGCACCGACCCCUCUCGCUCUCCAGGCUUCAGGGAUAGCCGCCUGAAGCCUCUGGAGCGCAGCGGG
This 130-nucleotide microRNA precursor is filed under the name Podarcis lilfordi (Lilford's wall lizard). The record is from RNAcentral. Lineage: Eukaryota; Metazoa; Chordata; Lepidosauria; Squamata; Lacertidae.